GGAUGUGAGGGUGAUCUGGCUGCGGCGUCUGUCAACCUAUUGAUCACCAGAGUUGAUUCGGCUGAUCUGGCUGGCUAGGCGGCGUCUGUCCCCUUCCUCCUUCACCACUCCAUGUGCGUUCGUCCGAAGCUGCGCGCUCGGUCAAAGAGGACGGCCUUCCCUGCAUAGAGACUGGCAGGUCUUCUGUCGAAGGCAUCCCAGUAGCUGUGCUCCCCUGCUAGAACCUCCAAACAAGCUCUCAAAAUUCUAAGAUUACAGUGGUAGGGCUAGGAAGACAGUAUAAUGGUUAUGCAAAAGACUCUCGGGCUUGAGACUCCAAGGCCCCAGG
Unclassified non-coding RNA from Erinaceus europaeus (western European hedgehog), 328 nucleotides. Its record names the gene 7SK. It matches the Rfam family "7SK RNA". From Rfam's summary of the family: 7SK was discovered as an abundant small nuclear RNA in the mid-70s but a possible function has only recently been suggested. Two independent studies have found that 7SK RNA binds the CDK9/cyclin T complex (known as elongation factor P-TEFb). P-TEFb activates transcription by phosphorylating the C-terminal domain of RNA polymerase II. The record is from Ensembl. NCBI's taxonomy places the organism in Eukaryota, Metazoa, Chordata, Mammalia, Eulipotyphla, Erinaceidae.